AUGUCUUCAUCCUCCGGCGCUUCCCAAACCAGCCUCAAUGGCCAAGUUACCGAGAAGCUGACGCGCACAAACUAUGUGCUAUGGCACACGCAAGUGAUUCCCCAGCUGUGUGGCGCCGGUGUCUUCGGCUACGUCGACGGCACUCAGCCGGAGCCGGCGAGACUCCUCGUCACCACCAAGGAAGGCAAGGAGGUGUCAUCGCCCAACCCUCUCCACCCAAUCUGGGUCAUGGAGGAUCAGCAGGUUCUCGGAUACCUGCUGAACAAUCUGACACGUGAGGUGCUGCUCACGGUGACCACGGUCACCACCGCGGGCGCGCUCUGGACGACGCUCGCCGACAUGUUUUCCUCACAGUCCGCCAGCCGCAUCAACAACAUCCGAACCUCCCUCAUCAACGCACAGAAGGGCAACCUCUCCGUCGCCUCCUACUUCGCCGCCAUG
This 441-nucleotide ribosomal RNA is filed under the name Triticum aestivum (bread wheat). Its description in RNAcentral is "partial small subunit ribosomal RNA". Lineage: Eukaryota; Viridiplantae; Streptophyta; Magnoliopsida; Poales; Poaceae. The record is from RNAcentral.